UACGGAAUGUGCAAACGUUAUUCGGAAUCACUGGGCUUAAAGAGUCCGUAGGCGGCAUGUUAGGUGAGGUGUGAAAUCCCCCGGCUCAACCGAGGAAUUGCGCUUCAAACCGGCGUGCUUGAGGAAGAUAGAGGUGGGCGGAGCUGAUGGUGGAGCGGUGAAAUGCGUUGAUAUCAUCAGGAACACCGGAGGCGAAGGCGGCCCACUGGGUCUUUUCUGACGCUGAGGGACGAAAGCUAGGGGAGCGAACGGG
RNAcentral lists this ribosomal RNA (253 nucleotides) under uncultured bacterium. RNAcentral describes it as "partial 16S ribosomal RNA". It matches the Rfam family "Bacterial small subunit ribosomal RNA", at positions 524 to 776 of the family's 1533-position model. The record is from RNAcentral.